RNAcentral lists this long non-coding RNA (35969 nucleotides) under Triticum aestivum (bread wheat). RNAcentral's name for it is "long non-coding RNA (TAES_LNC000942)". The record is from RNAcentral. Lineage: Eukaryota; Viridiplantae; Streptophyta; Magnoliopsida; Poales; Poaceae.
UUGCCUUUUAUUUCUCUGCAAGAUGUAGCCCUGCUACUGCAACAGCAGUACAAAUUUGGUGCACCUACAGGCCAUUCAGUGUGACAACAUCCAGCACCAGAAAGAUGCACUGAGACUGUUGAACAAGGGACACAAACAAAGUGACACAUACACAACUAAUCACAUCAAAUUAAGAAUAUGUAUGUCUGAACAUUCACCAGCGAUAUGGAAAAUAUAGCCAAGUAUCUAUCCGUUUUUCCCGAGUCACGAUUCAACAGCGGACGUCUUAGUAGAACCAUAACGCAACGACGGGUCGAGAGCAGUUCCCAGAUUCCAUGACAGGACGGUGACGCUGGUACAAAAUAUGCAAAUCCCCACUAAAACUUAUUCAGCUCUUGGACACUUCCGAAUGACUGACUGACUGGUAUAAGAUGACGGUGCUAGACAGAGUCUGCCUUGGUGUAGAUCCGUACGGCGACGGCCAGGCCCAGUAUCGCGAGGGGGACCAAGAACUGGAGGAUCUUGAUGACGAACUCGGGGGUCUUGUCCUGGUUGUAGUGCGGCUGCUUGGGCGGCGUGUACUUGACCUUGGUGGGUAUCGUGGUCGCGUCGAUCUCGCCGACGUAGUACUCGUCCAUCAUCGCCCGGGCGGUUGUGCUGUGUCCCACGUCCUCGAAGUCGUCGGUCGCGUCCUUGGCUGCAGAUGUAAAAGUGAGCUUGUGAGCUGAAAUUGCAUUCCCUUGUUUGCAGCCCUGUUUAUAAUUACCAAAGAAACAUGCGAUGGGGCAGUACCAGUUGAAGACAGCAAGACGUCGUCGCCUCCAGGGUGGUCAUCAAGAAACUUGGUCACAUUGUACACCUACAUACAGGAGCACAACAUAUUCCUCAGUGAGAUUUGGUUUUCAGAAUUUUAUAACACAAGGCCUUGCCGAUAUAAAAGCAUGUUCGUACCACUUUGUAACUGCAAGUCACAGAGGUUUCGCUACAAGGACCGUCACGUGUAUAGAAUUGUAACAAAGUUGUAAAUCAUGUGCAGGGAAACACGAGAAACAAGAAGUGCACACUUGAGACUACGAGGCCCAGAUUUUGGAAUUCAGCCAGAAAAUAUUUCUGGUCGAGUCGACAUCUUGUUUGGAAAGCUGGGGGUCCAAGAAGACGACAGAUUACCAAACGAUGCUGACGCGCACGCGGACAAUCAAAUCGGUACAAUCACAACGCUGAACAAGAAUGAAGGCCAUAAUUAUAUGCCAGCUAUUAAUUAGAUUAGACGUACAGAGCAAAGAUAAUAGGACCUGAACCGAAGAAACUGGUGCAGUGAAUGUGAAACGGCUAAGCGCUAUGGAAUCCAUGUAAGGAGACUAGAUUGGCUGAAAGAAAAUCUGCAUGUAAGGUCAGUAAGCAAGCGUGCAAGCGGCUGGUGAACAAGAAUCAAAGUGCCCUUGUAAAGCAAGUCGGUUUCUGGUAAACUGAAACAUGAGUGCGUUAGCCUAGCAUCAUCGUAACAGCCGGAUGGGAGGAAGCGGCGUUGUAAAAGGAAAGGCGGCAGAGCGGCUAGUAGAUGGCCCGAUCUGCGAUCUGCCUGCCUUCUCCCGCCCCUGAUGGGUGAUUGGAUGCCAGGCGCAAGCGGUUGGGCAGCCGAGAUGAAGACAAGGCUAGCAGAAUUUGGCUGCCAUCAAUCCAUCAUUUGAGCCAUGCCGAUGCAAGCAUGUAAAGGGUUGGAACGAUUACUAUGCAAUUGAGGUGAGGUAGUAUUAAAAAUAAGGUUUACAAGAAACAUGUGGGCAUCAUCAAGCUGGCACGGCAGAGUUGGGAUGUGCUUAGAUGAGAUCCAGACAGAAACAAGCAACAAGAGAAUUGCGAGAGAUGAAGCAAACAAGCAGAGGCCGGCAAUUCGGCGCGGCGGCAGCAGUAGCAGGUUGGUACAGUUAGAAAAGAAUUCAGAGGCGAGACUUGUCGGCGACCUCUCUCCAGAUCUUUCCUUGUCCCGUCCGGCUGGGUGAAGGCUGGUAGGAGACGGGAUCGAUCUAAUCUAGCCGAUGGGUCGGCGGAUCAGGAGGCGGCCGUGGGUGGGCGCGGGUCAAAGCGCGGGCGGCGGAGAUCCCGAGGAAAGGAAAAAACAAGACAAGAGACCCACGCGGCGGCGGCCGGAUCUCGAAGAAGAGAGGGGGGCUACUACCUUGCCGCCGAUGACGAGCCAGCAGUCGUCCUUGGAGCUGUGCUUGGCGACCUCCUCCAGGGUGAAGAGCUUGCCACCGGACGACGACAUGGUCUCCUCCUCCUCCUCCUCCUCCUCCUCUCUCUGCUUCCAAGGAGUCAAGCGAGAGUGAUGGGAAGGGUUUGGAUCCAAGGGGGAGGAGCGGAAUUGAUUGAUAUCAGAUGGAGAGGGGAGGGGGGCCGCGGUUGGUAGGUGCGGAGCGGUGCGGCAUGGAGUGGACCGGGGGCGGGUGGGGUGGGGCCGCGGUUUGAACGGGCCCGCAUGUCAUCGUCUGCGAGGCUGUGGGAGGGUUGGGUUGACCCACCCACCCCGGCCGCGCCCGCCCACCCACACCAAUCCCUUCCCGGACUGGGAGCCUGGCAGGGAUGGGUCCAUCUGCGGGCGGGUCGGCAAACCCGUGCCGUGCUGCACCUCGCACUCCGAUCUGCGGGCCAAGUCAGUUAGACACACAUACGCUGCGAGUCAUAAAACUUGAACGCGACGGUCAGUUAGUUUGAUGCAUCAACUUGUAAAAUAGUACGUGUUUUUCAUCAUCAAACUUGCACGAAUGUUCAUAUACGGUCACACGCCGGCGUAUAUGUGGCCUAUGUGGCAUGCCAGCGUGGCCAAGCCCACAUCGCAUGGUAGAUCUGCAGGCUUCGUAUUAUGCCCCUAUUUUUUUUUAACAUAUUAAGCCCCUAAAAAAUAUUUUUUUAUUUACAUAUUAAGCCCCUAAAAUAAAAUGAAGAAACAAGGGAUGCUUGGGUUUCUAACCACGGACGUGCCACUACUAGACUCGGGUGGACAACCACCGAACCGAUGAUCAUUUAUGUCUAGGUAGCAUGAAUAAUUUCUAUAUCAUAUAAACACGGCCAAAAAAUAAAUUUUACAAGAAAUGUAAAAUGGGAGCACCAUGGAUCGACUAUGUGACCUCCUGGUCAACAUUAACUCUUUUUUUUAGGUGAGGUCAACAUUAACUAAGGUUACCAUCAAGCUUCGGCAACACAACAUGUCCAAAUGGGAUAAAUAUUUUUCAUGUUGUUAUUCCUUCUUGUUCUAUGUAAGAAAAAAAAUUAUAUCCUUGUGUUUGUAACAUUUAGGAAACGUUUUAAAAAAGGUAUGUGACAUUUAAAAAAAUGCUUAAACAUUGUAAAACACAUUUGUGCAAUUAAAAAUGAUAUGUUGCAUUUUAAAAAUGUUCAUGCAUUCGAAAAAAAACUGGUCAUGACGUUUUUUUAUUUUUAUAUGUAUAAAAUUGUUCCAAUAGCUUAAAAAUGUUUCAUACCAUACGAAAAUGUUUAAAACAUAUUUGAAAAAAGUUUCAAGACUUGUAUUUGAAAAACUGUUAAUCAUAUAUUCAAAAAAUAUUAAGCAUAUUUUUCAAAAAAUGCUCCAAAACAAAUAAGUAUACUAGAGUAUUUAAAACAUAUGUAUAUCAAAACAUAGAUGUAUACAGGAGUAUUUAAAACGUCAAAACAUAUGUGUAUCAUAUGGAAUAUAUGUUUCAAUACACAUAAAUUUCAAAACUUGUAUUUGAAAAAUUGUUAAUCAUAUGGAGUAUAUGUUUUCAUGUCUAUUUUUUCCAGUAUACAUCUAAAAACAUUUUUACACAUGUUUAAUAUUUUUUAAACAUAUGAUUAACAUUCUUUCAAAUAUGUGGUUAAACAUAUGAUUAACAUUUUUUUCAAUUACAACUUUUUAAAAUGUCACGUACCUUUUUUUAAUACAGAAAUAUUUUUUAAAUGUCACAAACACAAGAAUAUAAUUUGUUUUCUUACAUCGGGACGUGUUGUGUUCUCGUAGGCUGGUGGUAAUCUUAAUUAAUGUUGACCACAAGGUCGCAUGGUCGUGCCACGGUGCUCGUUUUUUCGGGUUACAUUUCUUGUAAAAUUUAUUUCCAGUCAGUGUUUAUAUGAUACAGAAAUUAGCCGUGUUAUACAGACAUGAAUGAUCAUUAAUCUGGUUGUUGUCCACGGAGCCUACUAGGGGCACGUUGCGGCUUCCGAACGCCAUCAUCCCUUGUUUUUUCAUUUUAUCUUUAGGGGCUUAAUGUGAAAAUAAAAAAAGGCAAGGGCUUCUCUGCAGAUCUACAUGCCACAGCAGCUGACAGUGGGCCCUGGCCACGCUGGCAUGCCACAUAGGCCAUGGAUACGUCGGUGUACGUGAAAUGUGACCGUAUACGAACGCCCGUGCAAGUUUGAUGACCGAAAACACGUAUUUUACAAGUUUGUGCACUAAGUUAAUCGUCGCGUGUAAGUUGUAUAACUUCCGAUGUAUUUAACUCAGUCAAUUACUACUACUCGUGUCAUGUUCGUGCGCACAUCGUCUAAGAGCAUCUCUGGCAGAUUUCAUAAACCUUCGUCCUCUAGAAUCGCUUUAAAGGAUGUUGUAAAACAUUUUUACAAUGUUUUUACGGGAUGAAUGACGUGUGUGUCGGUAGAACAGAUAGAUCCUGCAUAAAUCACUUCAUGUCCCUGCAAAAUAGCAUACAACCCCCUACAAGCAAAAUAAAGAUUGCAACUGCGUCCUUCGCAUACGAGGCGCCGACUGGGUCAGAGGUUCCGCGGCGCAAGGAGGAACGCGCGCGUCUUGCCGGUGGCGGCGCCGUCAUGGAGCAGGACGAGUAGCGCCGGGGCAGACGUGAGGAGCAGGCAGCAGCUCACUAGCUAGCUAGCUAGCGCUCGUAGCUCGGGGCUCGACCAGCAGCGGCGGUAGGGUCCGGUGGUCACCGGCGUUGAGGCGUUCGGCGAAGUCGUGCUCGGGGAAGCCAGGGCGGGAGCUGAAACUUCCCUCCCGACUAUCGUCAAUUAUUUUUCAGGUCCCUGCAAAAAUUGACCCAAAUCCCGUAGAUAUAGAGGAAAUGGCCCAGAAUAUACAUGUUCGCGCAUUUUUUUUACAGGAUGGACGAUUUUACGAGAUCUAUUCAGGGCGGAAAAAGCAUCCUGUCCCAUAAACUGACGGUUAUUUUGCCGGAUGACCCCUUUCACGGGAUCUACUGGAGAUGCUCUAAACUGGGAAAGCUCCUGCUACUCACGCUCACCGUCCACGCGGCACGCGCACACAAUCACAUCACACGACGUUCGGUGCCAUGCCACUUCAAGAUUGAAGAAAUCACCAUAGGCGGAUGACCAAGACGACGUAUCUCGCUGUGCGCUAGUACAUUGCCACUAGCCGAAAUAAGAUGAUCCACCUCGACGACACACAGAGCGUCAUGCCCACGACCCGUGGGUCGGGGUAAUUAACCAUCCAUCCUCUUUGACAAUCUGAACGCAUGCUUGCUUCUUGGCCUUCUUUGAAUUCAACGGUUAGCGGCAUGGUGUGUUCAUGUUCUGGAGGUUCUCGACCGGCCAGUUGGAACUGCGUCGGGAGAUGGGUGAUAACCCACAAGUAUAGGGGAUCGCAACAGUUUUCGAGGGUAGAGUAUUCAACCCAAAUUUAUUGAUUUGACACAAGGGGAGCGAAAGAAUAUUCUCAAGUAUUAGCAGCUGAGUUGUCAAUUCAACCACACCUGAAAGACUUAAUAUCUGCAGCAAAUUAUUUAGUAGCAAAGUAAUAUGGAAGUAACGGUAAUAGUAGCAAAAGUAACAGUGGCAACGGAAAAGUAACUUAGCGAAGAUCACUAUGUGAAAAGCUCGUAGGCAAUGGAUCAAUGAUGGAUAAUUAUGUCGGAUGGCAUUCAUCAUGCAACAUUUAUAACCUAAGGUGACACAGAACUAGCUCCAAUUCAUCAAUAUAAUGUAGCAUGUAUUCCGAAUAUAGUAAUCCGUGCUUAUGGAAAAGAACUUGCAUGACAUCUUUUGUCCUACCCUCCCGUGGCAGCAGGGUCCUAUUGGAAACUAAGGGAUAUUAAGGCCUCCUUUUAAUAAAGAACCGGACCAAAGCAUUAGCACUUAGUGAAUACAUGAACUCCUCAAACUACGGUCAUCACCGGGAAGUGUCCCGACUAUUGUCACUCCCGGGUUGCCGGUGUUGGGAAUCGUAGCAGAAUUUUAAAAUUUCCUACGCAUCACCAAGAUCCAUCUAUGGAGUAUACUAGCAAUGAGGGGAAAGGAGUGCAUCUACAUACCCUUGUAGAUCGCGAGCGGAAGCGUUCUAAUGAACGGGGUUGAUGGAGUCGUACUCGUCGUGAUCCAAAUCACCGAUGACCGAGUGCCGAACGGACGACACCUCCGCGUUCAACACACGUACGGAGCAGCGACGUCUCCUCCUUCUUGAUCCAGCAAAGGGAAGGAGAGGUUGAUGGAGAUCCUGCAGCACGAUGGCGUGGUGGUGGAUGUAGCGGGAUCUCGGCAGGGCUUCGCCAAGCUUCUGCGAGAGGGAGAGGUGUUGCAGGGGGAGAGGGAGGCGCCAGGGGCUGUGGUGCUGCUGCCCUCCCUCCCCCCACUAUUUAUAGGUAUCCCAAUACCUUGUUCAAUCUCGUUACCGGCAAGUCUCUUUACUCGUACCGCAAUGCAUGAUCCCGUGACUAACGCCUUAGUCACAUAAAGCUCAUUAUGAUGAUGCAUUACCGAGUGGGCCCAGAGAUACCUCUCCCUCACACGGAGUGACAAAUCCCAGUCUCGAUUCGUGCCAACCCAACAGACACUUUCGGAGAUACCCGUAGUGCACCUUUAUAGUCACCCAGUUACGUUGUGACGUUUGGCACACCCAAAGCACUCCUACGGUAUCCGGGAGUUGCACGAUCUCAUGGUCUAAGGAAAAGAUACUUGACAUUGGAAGAGCUCUAGCAAACGAAACUACACGAUCUUUUAUGCUAUGCUUAGGAUUGGGUCUUGUCCAUCACAUCAUUCUCCUAAUGAUGUGAUCCCGUUAUCAAUGACAUCCAAUGUCCAUAGUCAGGAAACCAUGACUAUCUGUUGAUCAACGAGCUAGUCAACUAGAGGCUUACUAGGGACACGUUGUGGUCUAUGCAUUCACACAUGUAUUACGAUUUCCGGACAAUACAAUUAUAGCAUGAAUAAUAGACGAUUAUCAUGAACAAAGAAAUGUUAUAAUAACCAUUUAUUAUUGCCUCUAGGGCAUAUUUCCAACACUCACCUGUAAGUCCAGCCCGAACAUAGGACCGAGGCCCAAAAAUUACUCCUUUUCGACACUUACACGUGUAAUCCCGACCCAAACACAGCCCGAGGCCUGAAAAUUACUCAUUUUCGACAGCCCCAUUUGUAAUCCCGACCCGAAUACGGGCCGAGGCCUGAAAAUUACUGCUUUUCGACACCUCCACGUGUAAGCUUGGCUUGAACACAGGACCGAGGCCCCAAAAAUUCUCCUUUUUGACACCUCCACGUGUAAGCCCGGCCUAAAUACAUCCUUAAGGGAUGAACAUUACUCCUCUUCGAUACCACCACAUGUAAGUGCAGCCCGAACACAGGCCGAGGCCUGAAAAUUAUUCCUUUUCGACACAUCCACAUGUAAGCCCGGCUCGAACAUAGGCCCGAGGCCCCAAAAUUACUCCUUUUCGACACAUCCACGUGCAAACCUGGCCAGAGGCCCAAAAAUUACUAAUUUUUGACACCUCCACGGGUAAGCCCGCCUAAAUACAGGCUCGAGGCCAAAAAAUUUCUCCUUUUUGACACCUCCAGGUGUAAGCUCGGCCUGAACACAGGCCCGAGGCCCGAAAAUUACUCCUUUUUUACACCUCCACAUGCAUGUAAGCCCGGCCCAAACACAGGCACGAGGCCCGAAAAUUACUCCUUUUCAACACCUCCACAUGCAUGUAACCCCGGCCCAAACAUAGGCACGAGGCCUGAAAAUUACUCCUUUUCAACACCUCCACGUGUAAGCCGGGCCCAAACAUAGGCCCGAGGCCCAAAAAUUACUGCAUUUUGACACCUCCACGUGUAAGCUCGGCCCAAACACAAGCCCGAGCCCCGAAAAUUACUCUUUUUUGACACUUGCACAUGUAAGCCCGGCCCGAACACAGGUCUGAGGCUCGAAAAUUACUCCUUUUCGACACCUCCACGUGUAAGCCCGGCUCAAACACAACCCGAGGCCUGAAAAUUACUCAUUUUCGACACCUCCAUGUGUAAACCCCACCCAAGCACAUGCCCGAGGCCCAAAAAUUACUCUUUUUCAACACCUCCACGUGUAAGCCUGACCCAAACACAGGCCCGAGGCCCAAAAAUUACUGUUUUUGACACUUACACGAGUAACAACAAUGGUGAUGAAAUUGUAGCUGUGUGUUCAAGAUUAAAGUAAGAACUUAAGUUAACGUUCACCUGGUCAUGUAUUUGUUUAACAUAAAUUAUUACGAUUUCUUCUUUGAUGACCACGGGCGUAUAAAUGAUUGUCAUGUCCUCAUCAUCCUCCCCCUCUUGAAAUGGAUUUGUCCUCGACUCUAGCUGGUCAUCGCACAAAGCAAAAUAGGCCAGUACAAAGAAGCAACACAAAUACUUUAUGGAAUGCAUAACUUUAGUUUUCACCUUUGCGAACUUCUUCAAAUGUUUAUGAAUGUCAACAUGAUGUUUUGUUCGACCCAAUAACUCUUUCCAACUAAAAUUUCCACGGAGUACAAACUUGUAUCCAACCAUGACCAUGUCCAUAUCAUCCUCCCUCUCUUGGAGAAAUGUCAUCUUUGACUUUAUUCGGUCUACAAAAUUAUAGCACGAGGACAAUACAAAAAACUAGGGAAGUAAAAGUUGAAGAAUUAUGUGUGGAUCUUAAGUUUGCCAACUCCUUUGUUUUCUCUUCAUGGUUGAAAAUAUUAUAUUGAUGGACUGAUGGUGUGCUAAAAGAUGUAACCAAUCAUUUUUCUCUUAUUUCAUUUCCUCAAUGUUUCAAGAGUUCAUAUGUGCAUACCUCGGGGUGCAUCAAAAUGAAAGAUCCUUUGUUUACCUCAGUACUUCAAUGCCAGUCUGAAAAUCGUUCAAAUGGUUUAUCUAAUUAAUUUCUCGAUUGUUGUUUUCCUGUUGCAGUUACGAGGUGAGGACAACCGGAGCAUCGAAAAGAAAUCUUAGAGUUUAUUGAUCUGCUCAAGAGAAUGCCUUAUGUCUUGCAGUAGAAAGUUAUGAAAUUUUCAUCACCAGGCAAUUAUCAACAAGGUACAACCAUAAUCAUUUGCAGAGAAAAAAAUUGUUUAAAUAGUUCACUUAACUUCUAGGCUAAUGUUGGUCUCUGCGCCAAUUGGCACAACGGGUCAUCUAGUGUAGUCUAGUGUAGUAAAGAACAAGGACACAUGCAAACAUCCUCGCCAUACAAGACUUUAAAAACCGAAAUAGCCACUUGCCACCAACAAAACACACACAACCUAAUAUUAAUUCCUCUAUCUGCUGCCUAGGCAUGGCUGUGAGUCUUCCUACCGCCUUUUCCCUUGCGCCUUCUUCUUCUUGCAGCUUCCUCUCCACUGGGAGAUGAGAGUGUUAGUCAAGGAUUCACCAACAAAAUAAGAAAAACACAAGCAACACCCAUAUAUCAAUCAACCAUGAUAAGUAAAAAAAAGACACAUGUAUAAUCAUGGGUAGCUAUACCUGUCUAUACCAAGACGUGAAACGAAGAACGCCGGCCAGUCCAUCUCUAAGAGCACGGCGUCCAGAGGGCUGUUGGGGCGUGCGUGAGGCCCGUCCGCCACCUCCUUCAUUGCUCCGGUCUCGAGAUCGGCGGUGUACACGCGCCCGCGCCCGUCCAUGACAAGCAAUUUGCCACACUUCUCUCCCAGUAUGGAAAGUGUGUCUUUUCCUUGGGUCGUCUUCUUCCAGUAUGGUUGUAUCAGCUCGAUCGUCUGAGGGUGGAGCCAUUGUGAGGAAUGAUAGAACCUGUCUUGGCCCUCUUGUCUCCAUAUCUGUAGCCGGGAACCUGUCUCUUGCAUCUGUAGCACCGAGAGCGUGUCGUCGCUGUUCAGGCGAAGGCACGGGCGGUGAUCUCGGUCAGGCAACAUCUCGUCCGGGAGCCACGUGAAUCUGAGAUAGUCGUCCUGGCCAAUCAUCAGUUUAACAAUACGGAAACACCGUUCCUUGUCAUCAUGAAAUAGCCAGUACGCGACGCCGUGGCAGACUACGGCGUCGGUUUGACAGAAUGACCCGAUGGUAUUGUCCCACAUAGUUUCAUAGGAGCGCCUUGUACUCCAGCUCGGUUUGUCAGUCGAGAAGGUGUGGAUAUCAAACUUAGUCCGCCCCCCCUCAUGGCCGGCCGUGACGAUUAGCACUUCGUAGAAGGGCGGUGGCUGUCCGCCGCUGCCGGAGCGACAAUCGUCACUGGAUAGAAUGGCACAACAGUAGCAUCCAUAGUCACUAUACCUGACAGAGGUGGUGUGCACUAGAGGAGGGAGUUCGUCGCACGUGCCGAGGAGAAGGUUGCACACGGCCAGACGGAGGACCGUCUGGUCCAGGUCUGCCUCGCGGGGUGGGAUGAGGCGCACGAGGAGCAGGCCGCGGCGGGAGGCCAGCGGCACGGCGCGGUCCGGCACGGUGGGCACGAAGGAGCGGAGGCCACGGCACCGACGGCCCAGCGCCGACCGUGGCGUGGGGACGAGCGCCUUGGCCUCUUGAUCACGGACCCGGUUCUUGAUGAAGAAGCCGGCGAGGGACGGGCGCGCGUCCUCCGGCCACCGGCGGCGGAGCAUGGCGGGGUCGGCGACGAGGCCUCGCCACUGCUUGCAGGCCGCGGCACAUCGGAAGAGCGCGGCCGCGUCGUCCACGCGGAGCAGGAUGUCGAGGAGGAGGUCGUGCGGGAGCGAGGCCACCAUGGCCGCCGCCGUGUCUUUGAGCGAUCUGAUCGGAGGAGGAGCCUCGUGUCGUCUGCGUAGGGUUUGGGUUACUCUCGAAAGAUAUAUGCUUGGAGCUGGAAGUCGUCACGAACUCACGAUGCGGGCCGUAUCCGUAUCGCAUACUUUACGGCAACUAACACGGGUGGCACAUACGUCAAACAGCAAAGAGUCGAUUACGUCACUGGUGCUAGAACUUGGCAUGAAUGGUCAAUUCAGUGCUACAAGUUGUGAUGUACAUUGAAGUGGUGCAAAAACUUGGCAUCGUGGUGCAAAUACGGUGCAAAACUCGUCCGUAUACAUCCAUGACGUCAGCAUGGCAUGGGUCCGCUCUCAGUGACCGGACGAUGGAGACAGGGCGUGUGGCCUGCUCUUUUUGCAAAAAUGAAAUAAAAACCUUCAGCUUUUAUUAUUUUUUUUACACAAAAACAACACUGUGAGGUCCACCUGUUAGAAACAGCCCAAACCCGCAGGUAUCUCCUGCGCGCGUCUUACCAAAUCAAUCGAUGUUGAAGUGGGAAGUUAUGUGAAUUUCAUAUCAAUUCUAUGUGAAUUUUUGAAGUGGGAAGUUAUAUUAGCCCAACAGCUUAAGUUAUUACCUUUAAACAGCACAAACCCGCAGUCCCAGGGGUUCAAACAAAGGACCUACACGUUUUACAAUUUGGCGAUAAACCACCAAGCCUGAUGACAUUUUCUGUGCCAGUUUGGCCUAAUAGCAUAAAUUAAAACUCUAAACUCGGAUGAAAAAGUUUCAGCAGUCAAAAUCAGCGACCUCCUAUCCCGAUACUGCAAACUAACACGCGACGAAGAUUGUUUCUUACACGUAGGCUAAUGGUUAUAUUGAGGCCGCAUUUCCAUUCUUUAGAAAACGUAAUAUUUUACAUAAAUAUUUUGUUUCCAAAAAGGACAUAAACAUUUUCAGAAAGCAUGAAUUUUUUUAUAUAUUGCAUUAAUAUUUUAUUAAAAACUUAAUUUAAAUUUAUAUGAACAUUUAUAUUAAUAUAUUUAACCACGGUAAAUAUUUUGAAAUUAAUAGUCACAAAUUUAGUAUAAAGUAGUUUUAAAAUUUUAAAUAUAUUGAAAACAAUAAAUAACAAUAGGUUGUCCCAGGAACAAGAAAUACUGAUAAAGAUAAAGAUCAUACCUGAGGUCACCCGCUGCAUUUUUUGUAAAAUGCUAACCUUUUAAAACUACAUAAAUUAAUGCUUUUAAAUUAUAUGAACAUUUAUUUAAAUAUAUUUAAAUAAAUAUUCGUAUGAUUUAUAUAUUCAUGUUUUAAAUAAAAUAUUCAUGCAAUAUAUGAACGUUUUCAUGUUUUCGAAAAUGUUUAUGAACUUUCAGGAAACAAAAUAUUUAUGAUUUACGACAAAUCGUGGGCAACACUUAUAAGUAAAAUAUUAUACUCUCUCCGUCCCAUAAUAUAAGAGCGUUUUUGACACAAGUGUAGUGUUACUAACACUUUUAUAUUAUGAGACGGAGAGAAUAAUAUACAUAAAAGUGGUCUCAAUACAAUAGCCUAUCUAGCAAACAAAUUUUGGCGGCCCUGGUUGUUAAUCGCGUAUGCCUGAAAUCUUCAGGUCGCUGGUUCGAGCCCCUUGGAUACCUUUUUCAUGUGAGUUAAAUAAUUUCAUUUACGCUGUUAUUAGGGGAAAAGGAUGUAGAAUUCACGUCUCCCACCUGUGCACCGAAUGUCUCAUUGGCCGAUGUUAGGUGCGCUCUUCCCUAAAAAAAAAGAGGAUGUUAGGUGCACUCGCAUGUUAGCUGCCGGUUCUAUGCUCGAAGCCUCGUGUGUGCUAUUUUUUUCUUAGUGCGAUUUGUGCAGGUGGGCCUCCCAGCAAUAUUUUUAAGCAAAAAUAUAAAAAUCUAGUUUUCUUUUUGCAAAAAUAGCAGGUCAAAAGUCCUGUCCCAUCUCCGUCACUGGCAGCCGGCCCCACGCCUUGCUGGCAUGUCUCAUCAGUGCCACGAACAUAUACAAACGAGUUUUGCACCGUAUUUGAACCAUGAAGCCAAGUUCUUGCACCACUUCAAUGUACGCCACAACUUGUAGCAUUAAAGUGAUCAUUCCUGCCAAGUUCUUGUACCAAUGGUGUAAUUGACUCAACAGCAAACAACAAAUGAGGUUAACGUACACACUUUACUAUCUACCUCCCUGAAUUUAGAUUAUAGGAUUAAUUAGAUAAAUGCCACUCCAAUUCGGUGCUUCAGAAAAACCACUGCAAUUUACAAACUCCGAAAAAUGCUACUUCAUUUUUUUUAGAGUACGCCAAAGACGUACCAUAUCAUGAUAAGCUUUCUAAAAUUGCAUUGAAGUGGCAUUUUUCUGAAUCGCCAGAACUGGAGUGGGAAUUAUCUAAGGUUCAUGAUAUGCUUUCUGAAAUUUACGGUAAGAACCUCCACCAGCACCAACUGUAGGGAAAAAGAAAGGAGCUAGAGCAAAAUCUUUGGUUCUUUGUCCUCCUCUGCCGGCGACUCAUGCUCUUCCACAACACCUUCUGUGCUUCAAGGUGGCGGGGAGUUAGCAAAGUACCCCAACAGUGACAAAGUCAUGUACGAUGAAGACACUAAUGACGAUUUCAACAUACUGCAGUGGUGGCAAGAACACAAGCUUACCAUAUCCGGUGCUUUUCAUAUUAGCACGGGUUGUGUUAUCAGUAACCGUCUCAACGGUAUCAUCGGAGCAUUUCAGCCUAACAGGAAGAAUAACUGAGGAUAGAAGAACUAGUCUCACCCCUGAUAUGGUGAAAACACUGCUGGCCAUGAAAGAUGGAAUGCUAUCAAGAAGGCGAGCCCAACACACCGUAGAAAAGACAGAAUUGCUAGUCACGUUUGAAAAUCUGACGCUUGAAGAAGAUGAACCGGAAGAAUAGUUAUAGUGUGGUCUUGCAAUUUUUCUUCCGUAAUCCUUUUGUAAUUCUAGAGCGUGGCUUUGUACUCUUUUACUUCCCAGUGAUGGAAGGUUCCAAUGAGGCAGCCACUAAUAAGGCUCAAGAUUUAUCCCACAUGACACAUUCAAACCCCAUCUCAUUUCCCACACUCAACCAGGGAUGAUCUGAAUGUUCAUCUCAUAACCUUGAACAUCUGAACUACUACAAUGGAGAAUUAGUUGUGGAGGGUGGUGUCGUUGUGCUUAAAGGUGCAAAAGAUGCGGGAGUUUGUCGCUGAUGUGCCACGGAGGAACCGACAACCUGAGUAGGCAUAAAAUGGCACACAUCAAGAGAGACGAGAAGACUGCGGGUGCGGGGCAACAAGCUGUGUAGUUGUAGUGUUUGUAAUUAUUCUUUUUCCUAUGUCAUUGUCCUUUUGUAUUUUUUUUCCUAUGUAGUGUUUGUAUUCCAAAGAAAGCGUGCCUGGCGGGCCAAUGUGUCUGGCGUGCCAGCCCGAUUAGCAAAGGGGGCCUGCCUGGGCCGCUAGGCGCAGCAUGUGGACCGGCACGACAUGGCUCGUUUACUAAUCAUGGACCUAUGGGCCGCCGUGCAGUGUAUGGCACGAUUAUUAUGGGUCGGGUCAGUCCGUGUCGUGCUGGCACGUUUGGCCAGCUUUGAGGGACAUGACAAAACCACAAGGAUGUUCCACACAACACAAACAUUUAGACAAUAAAUUUUGUAUCAGUGCAUUUGCAAUUGUGGUUUUGCAUCAUAGCAACGCAUGGGCAGUUAACUAUAGUAAAUUAUCAAGAGUUGAUCAAACAAGUAAAGCACAUUCUAACACUUAAUAAUACAACCGUAGGGGAGAUAAAACACACAGGGUGAUCAUACACAAAAUUCACAUUAUUAUUAUACUAAAAGAAAUCGAAGCCUGCUAGUACAUCAUCAAAUCACAGCGAAAUUUAAGCAGUCGCCAGGGCGAUCGUAGCAACCUGACCGAAAGUGCCUCCUAGCGACCUCGAAGCUCAGCCGGGCAUCAACCGCCGCAUAUCUGAUCCUCUCAAAGGUCAAGGGGAACACACCCCAUCCCGACCUCCUUAACUUGUCGCACUCCCCGUCCUUGCUGAGCUUUGUUCCCAGCAGGUAGUUUGCCAAAUCAAUCAACGACGGUGUAGGCUUGCUGCAGAUGCUCUUCGGAACCUCGACGCGCUGCUGCAGGUCGAAGGAAGACGCGAUGUUCAGCCCGUAGUAGCCCAGCAUCUCCUGGUCCUGGCUGAUCCCGGCUCCGCAGAAGACGAUGUCCUUGUCGGCGAGAAACCUCCUCAGCAUUGCCGGUACGUGCCUCGCGUGCACGAUGUGGUACACCAGGCACUCGUUGGCGACGCAGAGCUGGAGCACGGCGGCGCGCUGCUUCUGUUCCUUUGGCAGGUCCUUCUGCCUCUUCCCGAAGACGGCGUCGGUGAACUCGGUGUCGAGGCCGACGAGCUUCUCGUCGGCGUCCCGGAGGUAGCUCGCCCACACGCGCGAUAUCCAUGCCUCCACCGUGGAUGCUUGGGUUGUGACGGUCGCUUUGAUGUCCAUGCCUUGAGAGUCGAAGUGGUACGGCCUUUCGUCAUUGUGCGGCGGCUGGCGCGCCAUUUGGAAGCAGCUAGCAAAGGCUGGAUUCGAAGGUAGCGACGAUGAUGAUCCCUCUGCCGCGCGGCGGCAGGCGGCAGGCGUAUGUAUGACUCGAGAAAUCAGCGUGGUAAUAAUGAAAGAAGAUGGUAUGCGUCCUGAUCGAUUCGCCAUGUAUAUACAGAGCAUGCAUCUUCUCACGUACGCGUAGGUAUACCGUAUACGAGUCGGAUUGGGAGUUGCCCUCCAAUCCUGAAUCGGACACGCAUACGAGUUGGUUCGGGAGUUCCGUCCGGAUUCCAUCAGCAUAUGCACUACGUGCUUCCGAAGACAGUAGUUCUUGAGGCCUUGAUCGAUUUCGCUCGGCGACGGCGGCACCUGUGUGCUGGACGACUGGCAGAAAUGAUACAGCGUCUUUCAUUCCUGCGACGGCUCCGGCCACGAACCACCAGAGCCGGAGCCUUUCGCGGACGGAGCCACCGGUGACGCGCCGGCAACUCACACGCCUUGGUGGCGCAAGUCGGCUAGAUCGUGUGGCCAUGAAGCCCCACAACAUGAGCCCCGGCCUUCGACAAUGCCACAGCCACCGUGUGCGUACGUCCGUCCUGCCAUGGUCGGGAUAUCACAUGGCCCGUUCAUAUUUCAGUUUUUCAGAAAUGUUUCAACUUCUGAAACUAUGUAUACCAAGUUGCCCACUCUUCAAUUGUGUAGCGAAAACAGAUGCUAAACUACAAGAUUGGGUUAGCUUACCGAAUUCCCUGUGAGAUUGCAAACCUAUCAGGCUAACAUAUUUUAACACCCUGGGCUGCUUAACAUGGUUCAUCGACACAGAUACAGUAGCUCUAUGAAAUCAGGUUAUCCUGCUAUGAACUAAAAUUGCAAAUUCCAGAAUAAUAAUGAAAAUGAACCUAGGCUUCUACUAGGCUAUUAAUUUGGCUCAUCUCCAUGCCUGGCAUCAUAGCAGUAUGAUUCGACUCAGCAACACCGAUUUGGGAAUCUGAAUUAUGAGCAAGAACAACGAGGACAGGGUAUGAUCAUGUUACCUCCUGGACAGAUCAUUUGCCCUCGAAGUCCUUGAAAUCGCCGUCAACAAUGUUGAAGGCGAUCUCCCGGCGGCGUGCCCCGGACUCCGGGAGCAGCUCCAUCUCCCCCUCGUAGCAGUCUAUGGUGCCCUUGGCGUUGAACUUGAGCCCCAGCGCCAGAUCCUGCUCCCUGACCCGCACAGGAUUUGUCCUCAUCACAUCCUCGUGACAUCUCACUCUGAAUUCUGAUUAGUUACUUUUCUUUUCAUGAUCUGAGGAGAGGCAUUAUGGCCAGACCCAAAAAAAAAGCACAUGGAACAAUAAAAGUAACACCAAGCAAAAAAGUGAAAUACUAUAUAAAUUUAGGUACUAAAUUGGAUGAGUAAAUGAAAGAAAAUAAAGAAAGAAAAAGCGCAAUCUAGCUUAUGUUUUGGGGUUAAAAGUUAACAAGAGAACAAGUUAUCCCAUGGUCGGAUUGGUAACUUGUUCUGAACUGCUUUACUGUUCAACUGUAUCAAAGGAACUGGUAAUUUAUCCGCUGUAUUAUAUUACAUCAGAGAUGACAUUACAACAAAAACAACUGGACAAGUGUUCGCUGUCUAUGCAUUACAGUCAACCAUCCCGCCAACAUCUUCUAACAAAAUUAUGUAUGCUGAGUUGCCCACUCUUCAAUUAAGUAGCAAAAACAAAUCCUAAACUGCAAGACUCAGAUCAGGUAAGGUCCCUCCAUUCGUUAUCCAGCCAUGUCAACUCAACUGGGGGGCCUUCCACAACACCUUGACGCAAGAAGCGUGCUGAUUUUUGUUUACCUGAUUCCCUGUGAGACUGAAACCCAUCAGACUCAUGGCACUUUAAUCACAAGGAUCGAACAACAUAACUGAAGUCGGGCUGAACAUACCUCUGUUAAGGAGCGGAGCGUACACAGAACUAUAAUCCAGAACGGCAUUGUGAGAAAGCCUUCAGGAUUCAUCCUAGUUAUCACUGAAAAUACAUGACGUUGAAAUGAAAAACGAUGUGGCAACAGAUGUAUGAAAAAAAUGGAUGUGGUUCCAAGAAGGAAAUAUACAAGUGGAGUAGGAAAGUACACAUUUCAAUCCAAAAUGUUUGCAUCGGUUAUUAAGAUUCUAGUAUUGUACUAGAUGAUAUAUUGAAUGACAUUUGAUGUAAUGAAAUGCCUUGCACAAGGAAGACAAAAAGUUGAGCAGCUGCGAUUGUCACAAUUACUACCUCGUCCAGUAACCUUUGGAUCCUCUCUGCUUCUUCUCGGAUACAAAUAAGGUUGGUUUUGAUCUCCUUGCAGAUCCUCCCUUCCAGUAGCCGAACCGGAACCCAGAGCUUAGGCUCCAGCUCCACCACAUACGAAAGCGUAGUCUGAAAUUCCUGCGCCGCUGAAAUUCCUGCACCAUCGACCUACACAGGAUCGAAUUACAAACAAGAUUACGUAGCUGCCUUUUUCAGAUUAAUGCAAUCCUAGGCUGCUUGGCGUGAAUUCAGGUGACAUGCUAUGAAGUAAAAUUGCUUAUUCCAGAGUAACAAUGAACCUAGGCUAUCAAUUUGGCUCGUCUCUGUAACAGCAGUUAGUUUGGGAAUCUGAAUUCUGAUAAUGAGCAACAAGGUAGGGCCAUGUUACCUCUUGGACAGACCAUUUGCCCUGGAAGACCUUGAAAUCACCGUCCACCAUGUUGAAGUCGAUCUCCCGGCGGCGUGCCCCGGACUCCGGGAGCAGCUCCAUCUCCCCCUCGUAGCAGUCUAUGGUGCCCUUGGCGUUGAACUUGAACCCCAGCGCCAGAUCCUGCUCCCCGACCUGCAGAGAAACCAAGCAUACCAUGCGUCAGACCACCGCACACGACCUGCUCGACGAAUUGGUUGGGCGAGAGGAGAGGAGAAACCUGGUAGAGGCGGGCGAAGGCUUUGUCCUGGUGGAGGAGGCGGCACUCGGAGAGGCCGGGAAUGAAGCCGGCGAGGCCCUCGUAGUCGGUGAGCGUGGCCCAGACGGCCCGGAGCGGCGCGCCGACCCGCACCCGCGCGCGCACCAGCCGCCGGUUCUUCUUCCCCGGCAGCUUCCGCACCUCCAUCUCGAAACCGUACCGCUCGUCCCGGUCCUCCUCCACCUCCCUGCCCCCCUGGGCGGUGAGGUCUUCCCCUUGGUCUCCGGCGACAUCCGGCGUCGGCUGGGACGAGGAGGAGACCGGGAGGAGGUUCCGGGGGAAAGGGGCGGAGCGGGAGACGAGGCGGAUGCGCGCGGGGGUCCAGGCAGUGGUGGUGUGGGUCAGGAGGAGGCGGAGGCGGGGCCGGCCAUGGGGGGAUGAGGAGGAGGCGAAGCAGCAAGACGCGGUGGACGGCAUGGCCAUGGCAGGCAAAGCUUCCGCCUUUGACUCCUCCACCUGCUGCCUGCCUGCCUACUGGCCUUUUGCUACGGUACACACAUUUUGCCCUUUUUUUUUUGAACACCACAUUGUGCCAUUAUUUGGUAGAGACCGUGACACGUGGACGCAUAUGAAUGUUGAAUUUGAAUAUUCAAUUUGCUUUUCUUCUUUUCUUUUUCUUCUUGCGCCAAGCAAGUGUUUGGUUUGGUUCCUUGUCCUUUUGCGUAGUUUCAAACAUUUUCUUCCUAUAUACAUUUGGGCGAGUCCUUGGAGUCAAGCCAACCAAGCAAGUUGAACUUCUAUGUAAGGGCGGAAUCUAGCUACGGCACAUGUGUAUCAAUCGGAUUUAGCGAGUUCAUGCCACUCUUGGAGAGGUAAUAGCCCUACGUCUCGUGCCGUGAAGCUUGUGUUUUCUCUUAAGGUAUGUGAUCACAGUAGGUUGCGAACCCUCGUCAUGGAGCCGAGAGAGGGCUUAUAUAGAAUGUGCUCGCCCUAAUCAAUGCCACGUUACAAGGGGAGAUAAGAGGGGGAGUAACUACAGGCGUUACUGGUAACUGCCGCUAUUACUACACUUAAUGUCCCUAGUUUAAGCCUCUCGAAGCUCCCACGUCGCCUCUUGGCCUCCUGCGUCCGAGUGCUGCUGAUGAGGCCGACUAGCGGGAAGACAUCCGAGUAGCUAAUCAUAUCCCAGUGGAUAAACAGAGGUGCGCAUCCGAAUGCGCAUGUGGUCUAGAGACCUUGCAAUGAUGGUGUGGGGCCCUAGGUGGGCCUUAGAUGUCGGGUCCAUCGCCCUACCCUUAGUAGGUGACCCUAUCAAGUACCGACAUUCCAAUGUUAUUCCCCAAAUUUCCUUAUUUUCUCAUUUUAGUGCAACAUCUUCAGCAAGUAUUCAUAGUUACAGUUAACAUAGAAAUAAAUAACUAAUCUAUUAUGACAAUGACCAUAGUCCUGGAAGACACCUUCUUAGACACAGGCAUCCUCGGCGUCGGCUGGAGCGGCUGGGGCCAACGACUCUAGAGCUAUUUGAUCAUUAAUUAGAUAGACACUAUGACACAUAGGCGUUUUGCGUGUCGAUUCAAAAUUCGUAUGUUCAGUUUGAUUUUCUUUUACUUACCCUUUUGGCUAAUUUCAACAAACUAAUCUAAAAUUUCUUAAUGACAAAACAAAUUGAUUCUUACUAGACUUUUGGGCAGGAGGUCUUUGGAGUUAGACAUCAUGAAACCAAUAUGAGAUACGGCAAGGGUGACAAUAUUAUCCAUGGAUCAAGGUGUUUGUGGAUAUGUUGCCUGUUGGACACAUUUUUGAAGGGUGCUACCUUUAAGGAAAUCCUGAAAUAAAUCCAGGAAUAAAUGCGAGCACAAAGACUUGAACCCUGGUGGGCUGGGGAUACCACUGUUCAUCUAACCAUCCAACUACAGGUUGGUUCGCAAACUCAGUAGUUAUCUAUUUGUAUUCAAGAUGUGCCCCAUGUAAACCCACACCGUACAUAUCUUGCAUAUGGGUCGACAUGAUGGCCCUAACAUUGUAGUUGGUCCCAACCUCAGUUGUGACACGUACACGCGGUGGCCUAUGCACACAAAAGUAUUAUGUGUGUCCAUUCGAAAUUUGAAUGUUGAGUUUGCGUUUUAUUUCCCUCUUCUUUUUUCUCUUUUUACUUCGUUCCAUCCUCUGGAGCAUGACUACGCUGUCCAUGACCUCGACGCGAUCGGCUAUGCUAUACAGACCACAACAGACUUUUCAAGCUCGAACGACCGAGACCGGCAGCAGUGGUUGCGCUUCUUCAAGGUGGUAGUUGUUGGAAUCCAGAGGCACACGUCGCAGUACUGUCUUCACACUUUAUCAUCGGCUGGUAAUCCGAGAUGGAACAUCCGUGCCGGGAGUGUGGAGGGAGUAAGGAUCGACGAGGCGCUCUGGUAGCAUAUAUAGCGCGGUCGUGUGUUGUGGCAUGGCGUAAUGACUGUUUGGGGCCGGGCAACGCUUAUACACUUUUGAUGUAAGUGUAGAGACAUGACAUGUCUCCUUUACAAAGCUCCCUGGUCCGAUUCGUUCAACGGCAAGGGCUUCACUUUUGAUGAGCCACCUUAAAGGUCCGCAAAGCUGCAUAUCAACGAUGGAGCCGCGUCGAGCUCGGGUGAGGAGGUGAUCCGUCAUUCUUUUUUUUUUGUGAUUGUUGUGGUGGUGCCGGAGACAGGUGACGAGCGUUGGUGUCAAGCUCAGAGAUGUUGUGAUAUCUUUCCAGUUUUGUCAUAUCGAUCCUUACGUGACUUGUACUUUAAUCUUUAUGAUAUGAAUGAUGCAUUAUUACCAUGCAAAAAAAGAGCUCCUUGCACGCGCUAGGCGUUCUGGGGCCGGAUUGUUUUGUUGGGCUUUUUUCCUGAGAAAAGUAUACUUUUCGUCUAUCAACUCUGGGCGAAGUCUAGAUUUAAUCCCUCAACUACGAAAUCGGAUAUAAAACUUGCAUCCCCAACUCUUGAAACCGGACAAGUCUCGUCCAUGAUCUCAUUUUUGACCGGGUUUUGGUGACUCAUGACUCACCCGAGUUUUGACCGGUCCAUGCCAACGUGUCAAAGAAGACCCAAAAUUGACCUUCCUGCUGCCUCUCGUACUCCCCGGCUCUCUCACGCGGCGUCUACUCUAUGGGCAGAGAGCGCAGGGAGGAGCAAGCUAGCUAGCUAGCUAUCGGUGGUGGUGAUCUCAACAGCGUGAGCGCGGCGGCAGCAGAUGGGAGAUCACCGCUGCUCCACCUGCUCGUCGCCGGGAUGGACCACGUCGCCUUUGUGACCAGGCUGGGGCACCUUGGCGCGAAGCAUUGAGGCCGAUUGAUUCGCCCAUCCGCCGGCCAUAGACACGCACGUACAGGACCUUUAUCGAUUCGAUCCGUUCUGGCCAGAACACACGUACGCAUGUCACCAGUUGCACCGGUUGAUGCAUGCCCACAAAAACGUGUCGCCCAUGUUCAUGUUGAAUGGAGUGGCGAUUGAGCCGGCCCCAUGAUAUGCAUGGCUCUGUGCGGACCAGCGGCUAGAGGGCGCCUAGCAGCGGCGAGGCUGUAUCCAGAUGGAGCACCGAGAGCGACAACGGUUAUAUAUGAUGGCGACGUGGAUUCCGAGGCAUGCAUUGUGGCCUACUAAGCUGACCACUGGGUACAUCAAAGCGUCAAUCAGAUUAGUUAGAGCAUCUCCCACACGGUAAAAAAGUUUUGCAGCACCGAUAUAGUGCUUUUGCGUGCGGGAGGUUUACCAGACGCACAAAAGCACGACGCCCAGCCCGGCGGCCCCACAUGCUGCAGCCUGCACGCACAAGCCAGUGCCCCAAAUUUACAGCCCCGUAGCUCGCGUGCGCUAAAAGUUGUAGCUUCGUUUCUGCGCGCGCUUUAUUUUACAGCUUAUGCAUGCUGGAGCACUGUUUUUUGUCUCUCGCGCGCCAAAUAGGCGUUUUUUUCUGGCGGGCGGCUUAUUAAACGCGUCUGUUGAAGAUGCUCGUAGAAAGGUGUUGUCACAAUCCCAUGCAUGCUGCAAAUCAUAUAUACUUAAGAAGUUCACCCCCACUACCAUAUUUAUCUCAACAUGCAGCACAUCCACCUCAGCAAUCUUGCCAUGUCAUCAACUCAGAACCUACAUGCAUGCCAUGUCAUGCGUUCAGUUUCCAGUCAUAUAUACGCAACGCAACCAACAGAAGACAAACCACGAACCCUCUCAUGCAUUUUUUUUUCCAGCCGUAAACCACUGAUAGCUGCAGCGUUUCUUGUACCCGUUCCUCUCUUCUCCAUGUCCUUUCAUUAUGGCCUUUAAGUUUUACGUAACAAAGAGACAAGUACAUACACGAACCCAAAGGACUAGCAACUGCAGACAAGAACAGAUCGUUUAGCUUCGUCUCCCUCCCAUCUAGAUCUGAAACAGUUCUGAACCACUAUUUAUUUGAGGUGUGUUGCCCACCACUAUUCAAUCCAUCUGCUACUGUGCACCUUCGUUUCAGCUUCUAGAUCGUCCAUCUGAUUAAAUUGAAGCACGAGAUGGAGAAUCCAUCAAGGCUGGGUAUGCAUGUCUACCUCGCCACCCGCUCGCUGGUAGAAACAUGUCUAUACUGCAAGGGGAUCGUGGCCUGCUCGCGUUUUCGUCUCUGUCACCAGCAUGCACUCCAGUAUAGCUGUCCGCUGCCAAUUUUCAGCUCCCCCUGCUUUCUUAUCCGUGGGCUUAUGGAUUUGAAAUUUUUAGAUUGCACUUUAACUCGGAAAGUUCUCACAAUUUUGCCGGCAAUGGCCACCGCUGCUUCGUUGUUUCUUAGGUAAUCUUUUUACUUGCAUUGGCCACAACCCUUCUGCUUUGUAUACCUCCUGACACCACAUCUACUGGUACUUGAAUAUCCUAAGGUAUCUUCUUAGUAGCUUUGUCUGUCUCAAUAUUAUUGUACCAUGCUACCAAACAAAAAGAGUAGAGGUCCUAGAUGUAUUAAAAGUGAUUGCAAAAGGGUAAUACCAAUAAUAUUCAAGGUCCCACAUGAGAACCGCAUAACAAGGAUUUUCAGCAUCAACUGAAACAUAAAAUGAGAAGCAACGGUGGAUUUUGUCCAAAAAAACUAAGCAACAGUACAAUAAAUCAAAUACAAAUUCCAUUUGACUUUUUGAUGUACCUGUUUGUCCUUUCUACGAUGUGUCCCCUGGAGUAUAAAAUCAUGUUCAUCUACAAAAAUGAUGAUGAAUGAGCUAAGAUUUUGCACUUGGAAAGAAAACAAAUUUAGUCACAUCAUUUUUCCGCUAAUCAUCAAAAAGAAUUGCACCCAUAAUUGUAUGUCGAUUUGAUGGAUACAAGUAUACAACAUCUAUCUAGUGGGUUUAGUUUUGUUCAUCUUUUAGUUGGAUAUACUUAGAAUUAACUCUCCGUACAUCCUUCCUUGAGAUGUUAAUUGCCAACUAAUUCAAAGUUUCUAUGUAAAUCCAAUACAUUAUUUUUCAACAAUAUAUAAGCGAAGAUUUCCGCCGCAACGCGCGGGGAAUCGUCUAGUAAAGUGGAAAGGGCUUAUACUUGUUUGCUUCCCGUAGAACGGCCGCAGCCGCAGCACUAGCAGCAGGGGCCAUGCAUCCACCGUGGCGCGGCGCGUCCACUCCAGCUGGUCCAAGGAAGAGGAGAAGGUGCCGUCCUCGCCGCCGGCAAACCUCUGGGCGGACACGAACAGGGUGUGGCCGUUGGGGUGCAGGGCGUAGCAGAGGAUGAUGCAGUCGGACAUCGUUGAACGACUCGAGCGGCGGACGGUGGUCCAGACCCACGGGGUACAAUGGCGGCCAGUAUCGUCCAGGAGGAGACAGCGUUGAACGGGAAGAGCUUGCCUUGCCGGCCAAGGAGACGAGGAGGGGCAGCCGGCAGUCCAUGCAUGCGGUACCGUUCGCCGGCCACGGAUCGAUGCCAGGGCCCACGUUGUGGGUCUUGGCGCCGUGCGCCACCAAGGCGUGUGAGUUGCCGUGCACGGCCUCGAGGCGCGCCACCGGCGGCUAAGCGGAAGGCUCCGGCCACCGUCGCAGGAAUGAAAGGCGUCCACGUCCACCAGUCGUCCAGCACCCAGCGAACUCGGUCAAGGCCUCAAUAACUACUUACUCCUACUUCGGGAGAACGUAGUGCAUAGGACGGAAUCCGGAGGGAACUCUUGAUCACGCCUUCUUCUUUCAUUAUUUCGACGUACGUGUCCGUCGUUCGAAUCAGGAUGCAGGAGGAACUCCCAAGCCAACUCGUAUACGUGUCCGAAUCAAGCGUACGUUCGUGUGCGACUCCCAAUCCGACUCGUACGUGAGAACAUGCAUGCUCUAUAUAUACCUGGCGAAUCGACCAUCUUCUUUCAUUAUUUCGACGUACGCUGAUUUCUCGAGUCAUACGCCUGCCUGCCGCCGCAGAGAGAUCAUCAUCGUUGCUACCUUCGAAUCCAGCCUUUGCUAGCUGCUUCCAAAUGGCGCGCCAGCCGCCACACUGUUAAAAUAAAUCCGAGGCACGCGGGUCGAUCCAUCGAGGAACAAGCAAUCACAGACAAUAAUGACACCGAGAUUUGUUAACGAGGUUCGGCGAACUCGCCUACUCCCCGGGGCAAUGACUACGGGCGCUCCUUCCUGAGAUACUGCAACACCGGCCACCCGGGCGCCGGCACAAGCCGCCAGCACCCCUUGCGAGCCUGUCGCUAUCUAGUCGUCAUGGGUUACAACGUGGGGUGCCUCCUCAUAUAUAAGAGGCCAAGGGUACAACGUGUCCGACUCCGACACUACAAGUAUCCUACCCACACUACAACACCAAGUCCAAGCGUAACCCAACUAGUACAAAAUAUUCGACACAAACACAACAAACUCCACCUUGGCGAAUAUUCUCCACCACCUUGAAUUUGUCCAUGCGUCAAACUUCCAUGUACUCCGGACUUGUGUUGUCUUCUUCGUAGCUUACUGUGAGCUACUCGACGAGUCUGCCCCAGACCCGCCGCCGCCGUUAGACCCCGCUGCUACUCCUGCAACUCCAGUCUCCGUGACUCCACCUGCAAUAGUGCUCCCUUGCAACUUGUAAAGAUGCGAAGCCGUCCUCUCUCCAAUCAUCACGGUCACCUUAUCUUCCAUGAUUCUCAUGGUCUUCCUAUCCCGAUCACAACGGAAUACCAUACCACCAUCAUGAAGAACACCAAGCGAAAUUAGAUUUCUCCUUAGCCCUGGCACAUGCCUGACUCCCCGAAGCAUCCGCUCAACUCCGUCAAACAUCUUGAUUUUGAUGUCACCCACUCCAGCAACACGAUAACCUGUGUCAUCGCCCACAUAGGCUAAACCAAACUCACCAGACUUGUACGAAGAGAACCACUCCCUGUUGGGUGUCGCAUGAAAAGAGCAAGCUGAAUCCAACAUCCACGCUUCACCUUUGGUUGACCGCCUGUCUGAUAGUAUGAGAACAUCACUACUGCUGUCUGAGUCAUCACCAUGAGUUGCCUUAUUAGCACUUGCCCCACUAUUGAGUUCUGGACAGUCCUUUCUCAUAUGUCCCCACUGCUUACACUUGUGACACUGUAUAUUCUUGUUCUUUUUCUUGUUCUUCCCAGCCUCAUAUCCCUUCCGCAACUCCUCACCCUUGACUAGCAAACCUUCACCAUGAGAGACUUCCACCGCGUUCUUCUUUCUCAUAUCAUAAGAUAGCAAUGCCGCAGUAAUAUCCUCAUUCUUGACGGUCUCCUUGCCGUGCGUCAAAGUAGUGAUCAAAUGGUCAUAGGAUGAUGGCAACGAACAAAGAAGCAGAAUUGCCCUAUCCUCGUCGUCAACCGUUGCACCCAAGAGUGCUAGAUCCGUCACGACUUGAUUAAAGGCGUUCAUAUACUCCACAAGAUCUGACCCCUCCUGCAUCAUCAUCCCAUACAACUUUUGCUUCAGAUACACCUUGGUCGUUGCAGUCUUGGACAUAAACUGACUUUCCAGCUUCUCCUAGAUCUUCUUCGGCGAAUUCUCAUCCAUCACAUGAUAAAUAACCUGGUCCGACAGACACAACUGUAUAGUCCCGACUGCUUUCAACUGUAACUCCUCCCAGUCAUCCGCCUCCAUCUUAGCUGGCUUGGCUUCCUGCAACAACGCCUCCAGGCAUCCCUGUUGUGCCAACAAAUCUUUCACCCUUGUCUGCCAUAACCCAAAGCUUCCAGUUCUGUUGAACUUCUCCACCUCAAACCUGGUACCCGAUGGCGCCAUGGUCCUUUGUAUGGCGGACCCUGUGAAAAAUUAUAUGAGUUAUCCCCGCGACGCCCAAGUACACUAGCAAAACCCACGUGGUCUCACCUCCGUGCACUAAUACCAAUCCGCCAAAAACAAUUGGUCUUCACGUGUUCUGCUCACUUGGCUCAACCCCACAAUGCUAGCUUUUUGCCUUCUCUGCCAAAUACUCCUGCUACUCGAUGGGUGCGUAGCCCCUGAUGGAUUUUCUCUUGCGCCGAUUUCGAUCUGUUGCCUCGCCGUACGGUGACCCAGCCCAGGCUGCUCCUUUUAUUAGCGCCUCAUAAGUCUCCGCCUAGAUGACGAGUUCCACCAGGACUCGGUCCUGCUUCUUUUUUGUCCAAAACAAACUCGGUCGAUACCUGUUUGUACACGACUCGUGUCUGGUCUUGCGCACCUCCGUACGCACGCGUACGCGCUAACCGGCUGCCGCUUGGCCCGUGAUUUUGCCUGCCUGUAGUCGUACGGCUUCUCCCUCUUGCUCCGCAGCUCAUACACGCGUCUCCACGCGCGCGACACGCUGCCGGAUCUCGCCGAGUCGCCGAUCCCACGACCUGCUGCUGCAACUCACUUCCGCCUAGGCAUCCAACCACACGACUGCUUCUCCAUCCUCUGGAUCAACAUACAACGGCCUCUCCAACCUUGCUCUGAUACCACUUGUUAAAAUAAAUCCGAGGCACGCGGGUCGAUCCACCGAGGAACAAGCAAUCACAGACAAUGAUGACACCGAGAUUUGUUAACGAGGUUCGGCGAACUCGCCUACUCCCCGGGGCAAUGACUACGGGCGCUCCUCCCCGAGAUACCGCAACACCGGCCACCCGGGCGCCGGCACAAGCCGCCAGCACCCCCUUGCGAGCCUGUCGCUAUCUAGUCAUCAUGGGUUACAACGUGGGGUGCCUCCUCAUAUAUAAGAGGCCAAGGGUACAACGUGUCCGACUCCGACACUACAAGUAUCCUACCCACACUACAACACCAAGUCCAAGAGUAACCCAACUAGUACAAAAUAUUCGACACAAACACAACACACACAAUGACGAAAAGCCGUACCACUUCGACGCUCAGGGCAUCGACAUCAAAGCGACCGUCACCGUCCGAGCAUCCACGGUAGAGGCGUGGAUAUCGCGCGUGUGGACCAACUUCCUCCGGGACGCCGAGAGGAAGCUCGUCGGCCUCGACACCGAGUUCAGCAACCCCGUCUUCGGGAAGAGGCAGAAGGACCUGCCAAAGGAACAGAAGCAGCGCGCCGCCGUGCUCCAGCUCUGCGUCGCCAACGAGUGCCUGGUGUACCACAUCGUGCACGCGAGGCGCAUACCGGCAAUGCUCAGGAUGUUUAUCGCCGACAAGGACAUCGUCUUCUGCGGAGCCGGGAUCAGCCAGGACCAGGAGAUGCUGGGCUACUACGGGCUGAACAUCGCGUCUUCCUUCGACCUGCAGGAGCGCGUUGAGAUUCCAAAGAGCAUCUGCAGCAAGCCUACCCCAUCGUUGAUUGAUUUAUCGAACUACCUGCUGGGAACAAAGCUCACCAAGGAUGGGGAGAGCGAGAGGUUAAGGAGGUCGGGAUGGGGUGCGUUCCCGUUGACCCUUGAACGGAUCAGGUAUGCGGCGGUUGAUGCUCGUCUGAGCUUCGAGGUCGCUAGGAGGCAUUUCCGAUCUGCUUCCUACGAUCGCCCUGGCGACCGCUUAAAUUCGUCGUGAUUAGAUGAAGUAGCAUAUGCUGCUCCAUUUCUUUUAGUAUAAUAAUGUGAAUUUCGUUUAUAAUCACCCUGUUGGAUCCCCUGCCCUGUGCUUCUAAUAUUAAGUGUUAGUAUGUGUUUUCAUUGUUUGGAUACCUUUGUAAAUUUACUAGUUAAAUGCGCGUACGUGCUAUGAUGCAAAACCACAAUUAUAUAUAAAUGCACUGAUACAAAGGUGUGUGUGGGGCGAUUUCAUCAAUCUCAAGAUAAUGUGCUGACUCAUUCUUUCGAAUGUGCGCUCAUAGAGGUAGGGUGUUCUAACAUGCGUCAUAGGGAUGGAUUGAGCGUCUUCAUCUGUAUUGUGUUAAAAAAAGAAGAAGACAUCAAAGCAUCAACCAUUGAUUGCAAUUUUUUGUUGGUGGCCUACCCAGCUGAUCACUUGGUACAUCAAAGCGUCAAUCAGAUUAGUUAGAAAAAGGUGUUGUCACAAUCCCUGGAAAUCUCCCCCGGUGAUUCCUCAGAAAAAGAAAAACAAUCCCAUGCAUGCUGCUGCAAAAUAAAGUGGAAAGAGAGUUAUACUUGAUCGCAUGCAUGUCACGAUACGUGUGUCAUUAAAGUGGAUCUUAGGCCGGCGUGCAAUUGGAUUAGAUGUCGUGUUCGAUCUCGAAAUUACUGAGUAGAGAAUUUCAAAAAAAAAAAGGAGUAGAGACGUACUAUGUUUGGAAACCAUAUGCAAAUCAGCACCUCAACCCGUACGCAAUCAUCUACUUAACAUUACUCACCUCAGAUCGAUGGAAGACUCGGCGGCGGCAAUGGCGGCCGCCCUCCCAAACGACGUCCUCCUCGAGAUCCUGCUCCGACUGGACGACGCGGCCGACCUCUUCCGCUGCGCCACCGCGUGCAAGCGACUGCGCGGCCUCGUCAUCGAUUCAUCCUUCCUCCUGCGCCGGUGGCCGGAGCACGUGCGCCCAUCCUUGGCCGGAUUGUUCAUCAAGGAUCGGGGCCGUUAUCAAGGGUCCAAGGUGCUCGUCCCGACGCCGCGGUCCGAGCUGGGUCCAGGCCGCCGCCGUGCCCUCAGCUGCUUCGUUCCCGGCAUCUCUGCACGCCUAUUAUACCACGCGGUGCCGCUGUUCUCGAGUCGCGGCCUCCUGCUCGCGCGCCUCGCCCCCAAGGACACAAGUUGGAGCGUCGUCCACCUGGCUGUCUGCAACCUGCUCACCGGCACAUGCGACGUGCUCCUUCCUAUACAGCUAGGUCUCGCGUCCCUCUCCCCUGCCUCCCCUGCCGGCGAGCGUAGCGGCUGCGCCAUCGUGACCGGCACGGACUAUCGCCGUUCCAGCAGCGACGACGAGGAACCACGGGGCAAUUCACCACUCUUCAAAGUGAUAGUCCUCACCGUCAGCUGCAAGGACGACCUCAAGUUCUACCUUAACACGUUCUCGUCCGACGAACCGAGCUGGAGAGCCAUGCGCACGGUGUCCUUUGGCGCUACCAUAGACGCCAAUGCCUCCGGGUCGUUCUGUCAGAGCGAUGCCGUCGUGCGCCACGGCACCGCGCACUGGCUAUUUCGUAACGAGACGGCGCGGUGUUUCUGCCUUGUUGGAGUGAACGCCCAGAGCGGCCAUGUCUCCUUCACGAGGCUCCCCGUCCCGAUGAUGACCGAAGUAGAUUACCCGUGCCUUUGCUCAGGCUCAGCCACCGAUGGCACGCUCUCGGUGCCACACAUGCAAUGGGGAGGUUCCCCGGUCGAGCUAAUGAUACAGCCUAGAAAAGAGAAUCAAGGAAGAGAAAGGUUAUACAUUGUGGGAGAGAAGUGUGGUAAAUUGAUUGUGAAGGACAGGCGCGGACGCGUGUACACAGGCAACCUCUCGACCGGGGCAAUGGAGGAGGUGGCGGACUGGCCUCGCAUGUGCCACAUCAACACUCCGAAUGUUGUGCCUUGGAGAUGGAUUGGCCGGCGUUCUUUGUUUCCCGCCUUGGUACCAUAAGGUAUAGCCAGCCAUUCUUAUAUGUGCCUUUCUUGAUUUUGUUUUGCACAACUAGAUGGGGUCAUCAGUUAGCUAGGUUGAUUAAGCAUUGCUUUCUUGAUGAAUGAAUUCUCCUUUUCCUCGCCAAAAAAAAAAAAAAGAUUAAGCAUUGCUUCUACUAUUACAUGAUUCAAGGAUAUGUUGUUUAUUUUACCAUGUCCAUAUAUUUGAUAUUUGAUGUCUUCCUCCCAAGAAAGGUAUAUCUUAUGUCUGGGUUUUGUUUGUGUCUUUGUUUUUUUACUAGCAACCCUGGCAUUUGCCGUUCAUCUCCAAGUAGAAAGGGAAGUCCAAGAAGAAGAGGGUGAUGCGGCGGGAAGACUUGUGACCGCGACAAGGCCACAGAUGGAUGAAAAGAGAUACUAGCUCUACAUCGAGAUAAUAUUAGAUUACGUGUGUUUUUUAUGCAGAAAUUCAUUAUGGGUAUCACCAAAUUGUAACUACAGUUCUCACAAACAUGUCGGUUUUGUCAUGGCGGUUGGUAUACCCUUUGUCCAAGGCAGUAUUUAUCACUGAUGGAGCACUUUUGCUUAUCUGUAUGCAAUGGGAAAGGUCCCGAAGUAGUGACACGGGAGAAUGCGAACGAGACAUGAGUGUCUCCACGCUAAGAUAUCUCGGUUGUCCACGACCAACCCUACGAGCGCACUAUUGCCCAUUGUGCACUGCAGGAAAUCACCCAAUUUUGCAAGCCACCGCCACGCCGCGCCUACUGCUGCAAGCACUGCCUGCACCACGACGAGUUGGUGAUGCAUACGUUGCCCGGUGCGCUGCACCGACGACGGCGAACAACAGCGGUGCUGUCGGCAACGGCAGGGGCGUUUUUUAAACUUCAUCUCUGUUGUAAUUUUUCUGCAGCAUCACCUGUGUUGCAAAAGUUCCUUCCACAACAAUACCUAUCUUGCAAAAAAGUGAAGAUGAAUACUCCCUCCGUUCCUAAAUAUAGGUCUUUCUAGAGAUUUCAACAAAUGACUACAUACGGAGCAAAAUGAGUGAAUCUACACUCUAAAAUAUGUCUACAUACAUCCGUAUAUGGUAGUCCAUUUGAAAUAUCUAAAAAGACUUAUAUUAAGCAACGGAGGGAGUAGAUUAGAAGAUUUCUAAAAGAAAAACUUUGUUACAAUUUUUAUUUAUUUUUUCAAUAAGACCUCUGUUGAAAAGAAAAAUCAGCGACAAGAGCUCUAUUGCAAUGAUGAAGGCCGCUCGACGCUAGAUCUGAUGGCUUGGGACCCGUCUGAUUUUUGAAAAGAAUCAGUCGCUUAGUGGACACUUAGCACGCCCCUUUGGGAAUCCCAAGAAUUGUGAAACGUUUGUUCUAGUAAAAAAUGGAAUUGCAAAACGUGGAGUUUGCAGUAUUUUUUUUCUUGAAUAAAGGAGGGAGAAAAAGAAAAUACCCAUUUCGAUUACAGAAACAGAAAAACGAGGGCCCAUUCCUCUUGGGGCACUGAUCUGCGCCGGUCGACCGGCCGAGUCGUUCCGCCGGUCCAACUGCGUCCGUCAGAUCUGAUCCCCUGCACCGUCAGAUCCCUUCCUCCCCUCACCUCCUUCUUCAACCUUCAGAUCUGAUCACGCGCCGCCUUCCUCGCCUCGCCUCCUCACCGCCGGUCGCCUACGGUCGCCGCCCUCGCCGCUGGUCGCCCGCCCUCACCUAUGUCGUCUUUGUGUGGUUCUAAAACCUUCAUGGAUGCAGCAGCGUGCGGCCAUGGUUACGGCCGGUCGAGGUUGCAGCUCGCCGCGAGCCCGUAGCAGCUCGCCGGCGACCGGUUGCAGCAUCCGCCCCUGCCCCCCGUGCUGUAUCUCGGCGCCGGAAUUCACAGAAACCCGUGCUGGGUCGCAGCUCGGCCGUGAUGGAUGUAGCAAAACAUUAUGCCGGUUGUAGCAAAAAAUGAUGCUAGUUGUAGCAAAACCGCGAUGCCGGCUGUGUGUUGUAGCAAAACGUGACGCUAGUUGUAGCAAAAUGCUAUGCCAGUUGUAGCAAAAAUCUAUGCCGGUUGAAGCAUGUAGCAAAACUGCAGCAUUUUAUCAUUUUCUUCCACCUCCAGCCGUCGCUGGUUGAAGCUUUCUUAUUUUCAGUGUCUAGUUGUAGCUUUCUCUCUUAAUGGUUGGAGCUUUUUCCAACCAUUACUCUGGUUCCAGCAAAAUUACUCUGGUUCCAGCAAAAUUCCCACAAAUCAUAAACCCUAACAAAUUUGAUUGUAGCAAAAGAAACACCCGGUUCCAGCAAAAAAAUCCACAAACAUCAAAAUCCAACAAAUUUGAUUGUAGCAAAAGAAACAGCCGGUUCCAACAACAAUUUAGUCUGGUUCCAGCAUAAAUCCCACAAACAUCAAAUCCAACAAAAAUUGAUUGUAGCAAAAAGAACAGGAGGUUCCAGCAACAAAAAAGUCCCGUUCCAGCAAAAAACAACACGUUGCCGGAGAGCUCGCUGCCCACGCUCGCAGCACCCCCCGCAUCGCCUCUCGUCGGCACCGCACGCACGCACAGCUGCCGUCGCGCGUCGCUCCAUCACCUCGGGCAUCCAGCCCCCUCUACUGACACGCGAAGCGGGAGAGUGGGUUGGGCACGGCUUGUAACGAGAGAAAAGGGAUGAGUUCGUCGGAGAAAGCCGCCGACGGGAUUGGUUGGGAAGCGCCUAGAAGCUUCGCGCGGGCGGGGCGCGGAGGUGGUGGUCAUUGGUAGUGCCGGCCGGAGGUGCGGUUUGAGGCGAAGAGAGAUGCUCAGCUCACGAAGAAAUGAAUGACGGGGAAGCUUCGCGUGUGUACAGAGGAUAGCGCUUCGCGUCUAAAAAGAUAAGGCAGCGCGUGUCCAGCGUGCAUAUGAGUCGCACGAUCGAGAAUGAUCAUGCGGCGCGCGUCAGACCGGCCGAGUCGUUAGCCGGUCGACCGGCCGCAAACAUUACCCUUCCUCUUGCCCCCGAGCUCACCGCGUCCCUGCAGCCACACACCCUAACCCUAGCCGCGAUCCGUCGCCACCCCGCCGUCGCCGUCCGCCUCCUCGACCCCGCCGCCACCCACCCUCGCCCUCGUCCUCGCGCCGCCCCCACGAUAUCAGCGUCGUCCCGAGCCCGACCCCGCCGCCGUCCACUGGCACGAGCUCACCGUCGCCCUCCCCCGAGUCCGUGCUCGCCGUCGCCCGCCCUUCUCUCAAGGUGAGCUCAGCCAGAUCCCCUUCCCCCCUCUCUUCAAAUCCGUCGACGCCGAGCUGUUCUGCUGUGUCGGAUUUCGAGAUGCGUUGGCUUAUCACUGAGCUGCGCUGUGCUGUGCUGUGUAAAUUUAGCCAUUGUGCCGUCUUUCACCGAGCUGUGCAGAAUUUGGUAUGCCCCUCUCGAGUUGGCUACUGUGCUAUGCCGACUGCCGAGCUGAUUGCUUACCUCAAAAUAGGGAACAACUGAUGUUCUGUUGUGCUCAUUUUUUUUUUCCGCUUACUUCUGUGGUUGAACAGUGGAAAUAACAAAAAAUUUCUAACAAAAGGAUGGGAUUAAGGUUCAGGGACAUUGUAGACUUUACACUAUUUAGCACAGAAAAGGAGCCCCAAAUUCAGUAAGCCGUAAAGAAUAUGAAAAGCAGUUCCUCGGAGCUUCCCACAUUGUAGGAGCUUAUAUUUACACUGCAAUCCAUAAGCCUGUUUCUGGAGAUGCUAAAGCUCAAAAGAAGUAAUCAGUGAUGUCUUUCGAAGUUGUUUUGCAGUGGAGGUUAUCUUUCCUUAAAUUCUUGCGCAGAAAUGUUAAAAUACCAAUUAAGUUAAUCAUAAUCUUACUGCCAAAUUGUCACCAUUCACAGUUAGAAAUUGAUACGGGCACUGACUCUGUGUGUCACUUGUUUCAUUUAUGGCAAUGCACUUGUGUGUCGGAUGUUAUUUUUGGAAAAAUUAUAACAUCAGGAAACCAAAUAAUUAAGGACAAAUACAUAGGGGAAUACGUCAUGUUUCACCAAACAAACCAACCACUUGCGUGGUUUUAAAAUCAUUUCCGGAGCUUGAGCUCUUAUUCUCUUGUCUAACACUCUGGUUUUUCUUUACAGGGCUAUAAAUGGCAGGGAGACAGCGCAUAGGUCGCCAGUACUAUGAGGAACCAUGGGGAUUUCGUGAUGGCCCCCCUCCUCGACUUGCCCGGGAAAGGUCUAUCUCACCACGACGCAUCGAAGGAGAGCUGUCUAGCCGCCGUGGUGAGAUACGCAGAAUCCAUGAUGACAACCAACGUCUGGCGGAUGAAAUUGUUGGACUCAGGCAAGCAAUGUCCCGUUUGAAAGAAGAUCUCCAUUCCUCAAGUCAGGUUAUACCUAAGCUCCGUGCAGAGAAAGAACUUGAAUCGAGGGAGCUGACUCAGAGGAACCUGAAGCUGGAAGCUGAGCUGCGCUCCUUAGAACCCCUUAGGCAAGAUGCCUUGCAUCUACGAUCUGAAGUAGGUACGCUAGAGUCUUUGAGGCAAGAGCUGAACGCAAAGGUGCAGGGUCUGACAAAGGAGCUUGAGCAACAGAGCUCUGAAAACCAGCGCAUACCUGCCAUGAUUGCUGAACGUGAUGAUCUGCGGCAGGAACUAAUUCGUGCUAGGUACGGAACCAUCCUGGUCUGUGUUUCUGCUACAAUAGGCACAUCAUGCUGAGUCUACGUUGGUGGCCCACAUGAGGAAAUCAUUUUAUUGUUUCAAUGCAUUCCUCCCUUUUUAUUUUAUUUUAGUGGAGGGGUAGCUAACUAUUAAGAUCACUGCAGGGCGGCUCUUGAUUAUGAGAAGAAUGCAAAGCCAGAGCUGAUGGCACAGGUGCAGGCAGUGGAGAAGGAUCUUGUGACUAUGGCUCAGGAGUCUGAGAAGCUUAGGGCUGAAAUUGAGAAGAGAAGGGCACCACCACCUAGUAGGUUUCAUUCCCUCACUUGCAUCCAAGUCACUGAAAAUCACUUGUGGUUAACCUGUAUGUUUAAUAUACUUUUAGGGGUCAGCGGCUAUGGAGCUUACGGACCACCUCCUGGGAUGGGCGUGCAAGGCAUGUACGACGGCGGCUACAAUACCUACACAGACAGGCGCUACGGUACGGGUGGUGGACCAUGGGACCCCCCUAGCUACCCGCGCCCUUGAUUUGUGGUUUUGAUUCUUGUCAGUCGGCGUUCAUCAUCGUGACAAAGUUCCUAAUGUCUCUGGUACUGAUGCUUGUGGUGCUGGUGCCUUGUUCAGAAGAUUGUAACCAUGGAUGCUUGUACUGAUGCUUUUUCUGAUGCUUGUGGUGCUGGUGCUUUGUUCAGAAGAUUGUAACCAUGGAUGCCCGUGGGUCAUUUUAGGAAGCAAUUCAUUGUACUUAACAGGAUGUGGACCCUUUUGAUACUGUUGCUAAUCUUUUGAUUGGUGAACAUUAUUGCCUGACAAAAGUGAGGGCUGCUGCAAGCCUGCAUUGCUGCUUUGUUCAUGCUGAAGGUGGUGGAUAAGGAUAACAGCAACCUAAAUGUUGUGCAUUCACCGAUAUCGCCUUGUUUUUGUUUUCUUGAUAUAAAUUCGAAUGGAGAAUUUUUGUGGUACACAGCACAAGUUUUCUUGGUGGAGGGGUGGCCCCUAAACAAGUGUGGAGAUGGAGGUGCCCUGCUUCAGGUGUUGAAGCACAAGCUGCUCUGGAUGCCUCAGAAUUGUGUGCUAUAUGAAGUAGCUAGGUUUGUAAUCCAAUAGUGCAAGUUUCUCAUGUAUGCAUCUGUAGGGAUAAGCCCUGAACCGAGCUGAAGUGAAACUUUUGAUUUUCUUGAUGUAUCAUGUAUGGUUUUCAUGAAGAAAAGUCCAAGUUAAGUUAUGUAGCUUCUUAAGAGAAAUGAUACUUAAAAAAGUUACCUUUUCAUUAAAAUUUACAGACAGGUAUAA